RNAcentral lists this ribosomal RNA (443 nucleotides) under uncultured bacterium. Its description in RNAcentral is "partial 16S ribosomal RNA". It matches the Rfam family "Bacterial small subunit ribosomal RNA", at positions 338 to 795 of the family's 1533-position model. The record is from RNAcentral.
CCUACGGGUGGCAGCAGUGGGGAAUAUUGGACAAUGGAGGCAACUCUGACCCAGCAAUGCCGCGUGAGUGAGGAAGGUAAUUUUAUUGUAAAGCUCUUUUCUUUGGGACGAAUAAAUGACGGUACCACAGGAAUACGCCCCGGCUAACUACGUGCCAUCAGCCGCGGUAAUGUGUAGGGGGCACGCGUUGUUCGGAAUGACUGGGCGGAAAGGGUGUGUGGGGGGUGUGAUAAGUUAGAUGUGUAAUACCCAGGGCUUAACUCGGGUGCUGCAUCUAAAACUGUUAGACUUGAGUACUGGAGAGGAUAGUGGAAUUCCUAGUGUAGCGGUGGAAUGCGUAGAUAUUAGGAGGAACAUCAGUGGCGAAGGCGACUAUCCGGACAGCAACUGACACUGAGGCACGAAAGCGUGGGGAGCAAACAGGAUUAGAUACCCGAGUAGUC